This 253-nucleotide ribosomal RNA is filed under the name uncultured bacterium. RNAcentral's name for it is "partial 16S ribosomal RNA". It matches the Rfam family "Bacterial small subunit ribosomal RNA", at positions 524 to 776 of the family's 1533-position model. The record is from RNAcentral.
UACGUAGGUGGCAAGCGUUGUCCGGAUUUACUGGGCGUAAAGAGCGCGCAGGCGGUCGUUCAAGUCGCGUGUGAAAGCCCCCGGCUCAACUGGGGAGGGUCACGCGAUACUGAUCGACUCGAAGGCAGGAGAGGGAAGUGGAAUUCCCGGUGUAGUGGUGAAAUGCGUAGAUAUCUGGAGGAACACCGGUGGCGAAGGCGGCAUCCUGGACCGGUAUUGACGCUGAGGCGCGAAAGCCAGGGGAGCAAACAGG